GCUAUACUAAAAAUAGAUAGACGAACAGAUUGCGAGGUUCCACGCGAACCUCAUGUGCCCUGGUAAUUUUCCCUCCUAGUUGCCAGGGUGUUUUU
RNAcentral lists this non-coding RNA (95 nucleotides) under Pelobacter propionicus DSM 2379. RNAcentral's name for it is "atoC RNA". It matches the Rfam family "atoC RNA". Lineage: Bacteria; Pseudomonadati; Thermodesulfobacteriota; Desulfuromonadia; Desulfuromonadales; Desulfuromonadaceae. The record is from RNAcentral.